AUAAGGCAAGUAGCUUUCACCGAAAAUCCUUCUGUCUCCCCAACCACUGCCAAAAGUUUCCACCUCCACUUUGCUAGGAGACUUAAAUUGAGCUAUUUGCAUAAAGCUCCAACCUUUCUUCUCUUCUAUAAAUUAGGGUACUCAAUUUUAAAACCAAUGCAAACUGAAUCUGCACAAACAAUGAACUACAAGAAAAUUUAUGUCAACAAAUAAACUUAAAGCCUCAUAAACCAAAUUGGUAAAGAGAGUAAAGAAAAGUAGUACCCAGAAAAGAGAGAGAUGAACAGAGAUUACCAAGAAAUCAAACUAAUCAUAGAGUAAAAAUUAUGGUUGUAGAUCUUGAAAAAUCGAGUAAGAAAAUCAAUAUGUUGGAUUGAUAAAUAUCAAAUUAGGUUUUGAAGAAAGGAAAAGGAACAGUGAAGUUAUGGUUGUUGAUGGAGGAAAGGCCGCAAUAAUCAUGAGAGAAUGAGUGGGUUGCUUCCAUUCCUGAAUUUCACAAUUUUUGCGCUUUGAGACGAUAAUAAGCAAAGACCAAAGAUGAGGUUAAGCAGUUUGUUUCUUAACAAAAAAAUAUAAAAUAAAGGAUUCGUUGUUAUCGUGAAAACAUCCUUCGUAGGAAUAAGCAUUUUCC
RNAcentral lists this long non-coding RNA (631 nucleotides) under Trifolium pratense (red clover). Its description in RNAcentral is "long non-coding RNA (TPRA_LNC003074)". Lineage: Eukaryota; Viridiplantae; Streptophyta; Magnoliopsida; Fabales; Fabaceae. The record is from RNAcentral.